AGCCUCCCGUUAAUUAACACCCAGUCCAUCAAGGCGGGUUCCUCCGUACAGUACUUGCAGCAGGGCUUAUAUAGACAACUCACACCCAGCCAAAGCAAACUUCCCCAAACCCAACACUUCCAGCAUUUCCAAAUUGGGAGACAGGCGCCAGAAUAACCCGGGGCAAGACGCCUAAAGGAGCCUGUUUGUGUGCUGUUGCCGCGUUCAGCUGUGACUGGAUCUUGUCUUCUGCCUCGAUUUCGGCCCGGCUGGAUUUGGGGGACAGCACUGCCUGGCGCGGGGACAUCAAAUGAGACUUCAAAGAAGGAUAAAAUGAAUACACUAUUCAAUCAAACAAAGACCGGGAGCAGCAGUAUUCCAGCAAGACAACAUCUUCUCCCCAGCCUAGAAGUUCUGAGAAAUCGAGGAUCUUCCCCUAAAACAUUCUCAUACAAGAUAUGUGCAAUCAAGCUGCCAGCACUUGGUAAAAAGCUCAUGAUGCCUAACCCGAUGAUCCGGCGCGGAUCUUUGAAUCAGCUGUCACUUCUAUAGAAUGGGAUUUUCCCCCUCUUCCUUUUUAUCCAGCGCUGGAAACUGCCAAGGGCUUUGUACAUCUCAGUAGAGGAAGGCUAAAGAAUCUUACGUGAGAAGGAAGCAAUUUACAAUGCAAAUAGAGGCCUGUGAAGGGAUGGACGCUGCUGCUCACUGGAACAGCUUGCUGCACCUUAGUCGCUGGUUUCAUUUUCUGAUAUUAAUAGAUGAAUUGUUGGCUAACGCUGCUGGAGAUUACUUGCUGGAAGGAAAAGAAAGUUUGGAAUAAACUCUGAAUGCACCAGAUCUUAUUUGGAUGUGUUAGCCGCACUCACUCAGACAGAAACCAGGUCACAUUUGCAUGAAAAGAGGAAUCUUAAACGCGGCAACUAUUCUGGAGGACUACACUUGUGUAGAUCCAGUGUGGAGAGCGAUCUGGAGUGAAACCAGAGGAAGACUUCCUGUGAGGGAAGCGAGUUGUUAUCUUUGGUUAUCUAGCUGUAUGAGUGUAUUGGUCUUCAUAAAGCUAGAUAACCGAAAGUAAAAACUCCUUCAAGAUCACCGAGGAGCGGCCCAGAAUGAAACCCUACAGCCAAGAGACAGUAAAGACCAGAAAGGUCAGGAAUGCUUAUUGAAUCUAACUUUUUUUUUCUUAUGGUUAAAAGUGGGAUGCAAGGAAAUUAAGUGACACCCAUAUUGAAAUCUAAAGGGGCCAGGUUCUGAGAGGGGCUGUACAACUGGAGAGGAGAAUUGUGUAGUUUGUAUGGGUGAAGAUGCAUGGACUUUCUAUAUUGUUCUGUUUUGGAGCAAACGUUUUACAUAUAAGAAAUACUUUUCUUAGAAAGCUGUUAUAGUGAUGCCUGAUACCUCGUUUAAAAAGGAUGCCAGAAUUAUGUAGAUUUGGACAGUUCCCUUCUGAGGCCCCUCCCUCAAGUUUGAAGCUUGUGCUUGGAAACUUUCUAUGUAUUUGAGGUUGUAUAUUAAAUUCUAUGAAGUUAGACUUUCAGUAAAGCUUAUAUUGGAAGGUUAAUAAUUUAUAUCUCCCGAGGACUUAGAGCAAGCAGGGGAAAUGGAGGGGGGGGUCUGAAUUUUAUUCUUCUAUUCAAAAUACAAGGACAGAUGCUUCUCUGUUCCAAGAGGGUUUCCUUGAGGAAGCUACUGAAGCAGAAAGACAUGAUGGAGACGAGAUCGCCUCCCCUCUUGUCAAAGUGUUAAAAAAAUGUUCUGUCUUACUCUGCGCCUAGCAUUGGAAAUGAAAGUGACAUUUACGCCACAACCCACGUGUGCGCCUUCUCUCUUUUUGUUUAAGGAUGAUCAGGUCUAUCCAGGAAACAGCUCUGGCAUCCCAAACUGAAAUAAUUAGGACGUAUAUAGACCUGACAAAAAUGGAAACGGGGUGGGGAAUCUGAGGGUCUGUCUUGCCUAAUUGAUUCCGCUAAACGGAAAGCAGGAGAUGUGAACGGCAGGACGCUCCGAUUCCCACGCUCGGGGGCAAGUGGUAAAGCCUGGCCGGCAGCCUAUGACAGACAGCCCUGUUGGGGGGCAGGGGUAUGAAAAAAAACAUCAAGCACACACACCAUACUCAUCUCCAUCGCUUAAGAAAGUAAAGGCAUUUCCCACCCACAGCCAUCUGCAGCCUCCCAAAUGGCAACACCAACUGGUUGGUAGCUGCUGCGUACUGUUUCAGUUAGUUUUUAAACCACUGUUUAAUCUGGCCAUGAUUAAAUUUGGCUUUCUCCUCUGGUUGAAAUUUUCAUUAUUUAAGGAAAGCAAGUGGAAAGGGACGCUAAGAACGUCCCUCCGGAGAAAUUCUCAGCCUGUGGUUAGGGCUUGGUGAUCACCUUUUGGCUUUUGUUUUGGCUGUGUUGUAUUUUAAAGUCACGUCUGGUAACACUCAUUCUGACUUAGUUCAUCGGACUGUUUACUUCUUUAUGUGACACAGGAACUUGGCCUACUUAUGCUAAUCUACAUUCUGGAAAUAAAGCUAUAAAGUCAUCAGUCUGUAGAAAGUUGAUUACAAUCACAGUGUGUUUAAAACUUGUUUUAGAAUAGUCUUAGCAGUAUGUGUGCUACAGCUUUUUCU
Phodopus roborovskii (desert hamster) is the source of this 2593-nucleotide long non-coding RNA. RefSeq lists it as uncharacterized. Lineage: Eukaryota; Metazoa; Chordata; Mammalia; Rodentia; Cricetidae. The transcript is spliced from 4 exons. The record is from RefSeq and is a predicted model, not a curated record.